This is a long non-coding RNA of Bactrocera oleae (olive fruit fly), 880 nucleotides long. RefSeq lists it as uncharacterized. NCBI's taxonomy places the organism in Eukaryota, Metazoa, Arthropoda, Insecta, Diptera, Tephritidae. The record is from RefSeq and is a predicted model, not a curated record.
GUUGAGAACAAAUAUAUUGCUAAUUUCUUAAAAUUUGAUGUUACACCAACUUUUGCGUGCGAGACAACAAUACAAACAAAUUAAACAAAAUAAGUGACCAUUUUCGCCAUUAAUCAUAUAUUCUUCUUCAUUAUUGAAAACACUGGUCUACAGUGGUUUUCUUGCACUAGAUGUAAGAUCAAUAUUGGACAUAUUUGUGCUCACAAUUCGUGAUACUAUUAAUGAUUUUCACUGAUUAAUCUGCACUGGUUUGAUUUUUUAUCUUAAUUUGUAUGUUACAUAAAAAAAUUGUAAACAAAGUAACAGGUAAAUUUAUAAUGUCAGUUUUGAUUAGAAAAAUACUCGUAAGAGUACAUCGAAGUAUACAGAGAGAAAAAUGUCGAAAACAUAUCUUCUAUUCCAAUAAAACUUCAUUUAUGGGCUUCCUUUUAUAAUUUUGCAAUCAACAAUGUCCUUUUAAAGACGAGCAUUCCAGAUCCAGGUGGCACCGCUCGCUCUGUUCCUGACUAUAAUUUCUUAAAUUAUUCAAAAAUUUAACCAGAUCAGUGUGGAGAUGGCUUAACUUUGUAUUCAUAUUUGCUGCUAGAGUCCGAAAAUUUAUGAUUACUUAGAAAAUUUUUGACUAUCAACAAUUAUCUUUUCGGAGGAAAGUGAAAGUGGAGUUCACGUGAUGUUUGUAUGCGCGAAAAAGAAAUGUGCCCGUGAAGGGUAUUAUAUAAUGACUUUCAGCAGGCAAGAAGCAUUUCACAGACUGCCGAAUGACGAAUGAUGUAUCUAUGUUUUAUCUAAUAAUGAAAAGAAAUAUGAAUGAUUUAAUACUUUUUGAAAUGUCAAUAAACCAAUGUAGAAAAACUUGCAAUGCUUUACGCUCUAAAGUAAA